Molecule: ribosomal RNA, 765 nt
Filed under: uncultured marine microorganism
Description: bacterial SSU rRNA
Rfam family: Bacterial small subunit ribosomal RNA
Source: RNAcentral
UCACUGACGCUCAUGGACGAAAGCCAGGGGAGCGAAAGGGAUUAGAUACCCCUGUAGUCCUGNCCGUAAACGAUGANCACUAGGUGUCGGGGGAAUCGACCCCCUCGGUGUCGUAGCCAACGCGUUAAGUGUUCCGCCUGGGGAGUACGCACGCAAGUGUGAAACUCAAAGGAAUUGACGGGGGCCCGCACAAGCGGUGGAGUAUGUGGUUUAAUUCGAUGCAACGCGAAGAACCUUACCAGGGUUUGACAUCCUGCGAAUCUCUUGGAAACAGGAGAGUGCCUUAGGGAACGCAGUGACAGGUGGUGCAUGGCUGUCGUCAGCUCGUGUCGUGAGAUGUUGGGUUAAGUCCCGCAACGAGCGCAACCCACGUCUUUAGUUGCCAGCAUUCAGUUGGGCACUCUAGAGAGACUGCCGGUGAUAAACCGGAGGAAGGUGUGGAUGACGUCAAGUCAUCAUGCCCCUUACAUCCUGGGCUACACACGUACUACAAUGCUACGGACAAAGGGCAGCAAGUUCGCGAGGACAAGCAAAUUCCAUAAACCGUGGCUCAGUUCAGAUCGUAGGCUGCAACUCGCCUACGUGAAGGCGGAAUCGCUAGUAAUCGCAGGUCAGCAUACUGCGGUGAAUACGUUCCCGGGCCUUGUACACACCGCCCGUCACACCAUGGAAGUUGGCCACGCCCGAAGCCGUUACUCCAACCCUUGUGGAGGAGGACGUCGAAGGUGGGGCUGAUGACUGGGGUGAAGUCGUAACAAGGUAACC